GUCGGCUCGUCAUAUGCGCGCGCAUAUAAUUUUACCCCCGUUUCUGCCUGGCCCGGCCGCCAUGUCUGGUUCCCUCUUCUCGAUCUUACCUUCAGCCCCGUGACCAACAUUGACAUAGGAAUAUAUGGACAGAGCCUUUUACGAGGGGAAGCUGAGAUUAGCGGUAAGAGGAAAGCACUGGCACUUCGUGUAACUUCGGCUGUUCGGAUGUAACAUUGUCACCUACUGAAGAGGACCACAUCCCGUAUGGUCGAAACCACAGUUUAACUAUAACCAGUUACGACAGUAACGUUGGAACCUUUGAUCUUUGUGUUACCCAGUCACAUGACCAUUCGCCAUGUUUUCGAUAGUAGGAAACCGCCAAAUUCAAAGUAUUGAAAUGAGUUACGGAAGACAUAGUUCAAAAGUUUCUAACUAUGUAGAUUUUUAAUUGACAAAGUUGAUAAUACAUAAUAAAAUAGGUACCUAGGUAUAGUAAUAUAUAAAAAAAGUCACGGAAAACGUUUAGAAAAAGUAACUAAUAAAUGAGGUUAACAAAUAUAAUAUAAAUCAACACAUUUUGGGUUGUAAAAACAUUUCUAUUUCAAACUUUCAAUAUAUGAUUAGUUAACAGUUGUGACGGAUAAAGUAUUAAACAUAUAUUUCCAAUGUUAACAAUGAAAUAUACAAUUGUAAGAAAUGAACAAUAUAAUUGAUAGAUGAACAAUUAUUGUUAAAUCGAAAAAUGAAUAAUGUACUUUACAAAACUAAAGUAGACAUAGAAGUAUUGUAAUAUCUACAAAUGACGAGAACGUUGGCCUUGAUCAAAUUGUCCACUUGAUCUGAGGCUGCUUGAUUGUUUUCCUGCCAUGAUAUUUCCUCUUGAUGGUACUCGAUGAUAAAGCAAUUGUUAUUGUUAUUCUGCAAAGGAGGGGAAGGAAAUAUAAUCUUAACAUCAGAUCAAUGUAUAAAAACAACAUUAAUUUUAUAUUUUAAUAUAUAUUUAAUACUACAAAUUGGCACUUGCAUUGUUAACCGCUGCUUAUAAUGUAUAGGUCGCAAAAUUGAAUUAUUUUAUCUAGAAAAUGACGUAUUGCCAUGAAAUAAUUAAAUUAUACAUCUAAAAUAACCGAUGUAACACAUCUAAAA
Long non-coding RNA from Ooceraea biroi (clonal raider ant), 1128 nucleotides. RefSeq lists it as uncharacterized. NCBI's taxonomy places the organism in Eukaryota, Metazoa, Arthropoda, Insecta, Hymenoptera, Formicidae. The record is from RefSeq and is a predicted model, not a curated record.